Molecule: ribosomal RNA, 497 nt
Filed under: uncultured bacterium
Lineage: Bacteria
Description: partial 16S ribosomal RNA
Rfam family: Bacterial small subunit ribosomal RNA
Source: RNAcentral
GAUGAACGCUGGCGGCGUGCCUAAUACAUGCAAGUCGAGCGAACAGACGAGGCGCUUGCUCCUCUGACGUUAGCGGCGGACGGGUGAGUAACACGUGGAUAACCUACCUAUAAGACUGGGAUAACUUCGGGAAACCGGAGCUCAUACCGGAUAAUAUAUUGAACCGCAUGGUUCAAUAGUGAAAGACGGUUUUGCUGUCACUUAUAGAUGGAUCCGCGCCGCAUUAGCUAGUUGGUAAGGUAACGGCUUACCAAGGCAACGAUGCGUAGCCGACCUGAGAGGGUGAUCGGCCACACUGGAACUGAGACACGGUCCAGACUCCUACGGGAGGCAGCAGUAGGGAAUCUUCCGCAAAGGGCGAAAGCCUGACGGAGCAACGCCGCGUGAGUGAUGAAGGUCUUCGGAUCGUAAAACUCUGUUAUUAGGGAAGAACAAAUGUGUAAGUAACUAUGCACGUCUUGACGGUACCUAAUCAGAAAGCCACGGCUAACUACGUG